AAUAUUGCACAAUGGGCGCAAGCCUGAUGCAGCCAUGCCGCGUGUAUGAAGAAGGCCUUCGGGUUGUAAAGUACUUUCAGCGGGGAGGAAGGGAGUAAAGUUAAUACCUUUGCUCAUUGACGUUACCCGCAGAAGAAGCACCGGCUAACUCCGUGCCAGCAGCCGCGGUAAUACGGAGGGUGCAAGCGUUAAUCGGAAUUACUGGGCGUAAAGCGCACGCAGGCGGUUUGUUAAGUCAGAUGUGAAAUCCCCGGGCUCAACCUGGGAACUGCAUCUGAUACUGGCAAGCUUGAGUCUCGUAGAGGGGGGUAGAAUUCCAGGUGUAGCGGUGAAAUGCGUAGAGAUCUGGAGGAAUACCGGUGGCGAAGGCGGCCCCCUGGACGAAGACUGACGCUCAGGUGCGAAAGCGUGGGGAGCAA
This 419-nucleotide ribosomal RNA is filed under the name uncultured Enterobacteriaceae bacterium. RNAcentral's name for it is "bacterial SSU rRNA". It matches the Rfam family "Bacterial small subunit ribosomal RNA", at positions 360 to 771 of the family's 1533-position model. Lineage: Bacteria; Pseudomonadati; Pseudomonadota; Gammaproteobacteria; Enterobacterales; Enterobacteriaceae. The record is from RNAcentral.